CCUACGGGUGGCAGCAGUAGGGAAUUUUCGGCAAUGGGGGGAACCCUGACCGAGCAACGCCGCGUGAACGAAGAAGUUAUUCGUAAUGUACAUUUCUUUUAACAGGGAAGAAAGAGAAAUUUAACGAUACCUGAAGAAUACGCUCCGGCUAACUACGGGCCCGCAGCCGCGGUAAUACGUAGGGAGCGAGCAUUAUCCGGAAUUAUUGGGCGAAACGGGUGCGUAGAUGGUAUAGUAAGUAUUUUGUAAAAAUGCGGGGCUCAACCCAGUAGGGCAAAAGAUACUGCAAAGCUAGAGUAUGAAAGAGGCAAGUGGAACUAAAUGGGGAGCGGUAAAAUGCGUAAAUAUAUGUAAGAACACCAGUGGCGAAGGCGGCUUGCUGGGUCGAUACUGACAUUGAGGCACGAAAGCGUGGGGAGCAAACAGGAUUAGAUACCCCUGUAGUC
RNAcentral lists this ribosomal RNA (446 nucleotides) under uncultured bacterium. RNAcentral describes it as "partial 16S ribosomal RNA". It matches the Rfam family "Bacterial small subunit ribosomal RNA", at positions 338 to 795 of the family's 1533-position model. The record is from RNAcentral.